UGGCUAUAAAAUAACUUAUUUUAUAGGCACUUUGAGCUACGAUAAUUACUAUAUUAAUUUAUAAGAUUAUAAUAACUUUUUACUAAGUGGUUUACCAACCCAAUUAUCGUAAAUAUGUAUACAUAUUAUCGUAAAUUAGUAUAUAAAAUUAUCGUAAAUGGAGGUGGCUACAGAAUAACAUAUUUUGUAGCUA
RNAcentral lists this microRNA precursor (193 nucleotides) under Sorghum bicolor (sorghum). RNAcentral describes it as "MIR6217 microRNA precursor family". It matches the Rfam family "MIR6217 microRNA precursor family". Lineage: Eukaryota; Viridiplantae; Streptophyta; Magnoliopsida; Poales; Poaceae. The record is from Rfam by way of RNAcentral.